RNAcentral lists this ribosomal RNA (443 nucleotides) under uncultured bacterium. Its description in RNAcentral is "bacterial SSU rRNA". It matches the Rfam family "Bacterial small subunit ribosomal RNA", at positions 29 to 506 of the family's 1533-position model. The record is from RNAcentral.
GCGAACGCUUGCGGCGGGCCUAACACAUGCAAGUCGAGCGCGUAGCUUCGGCUACGAGCGGCGAACGGGUCAGUAACACGUAGGUUACCUACCCCUCGGUGGGGGAUAACCAGGGGAAACUCUGGCUAAUACCGCACGAGGUCCACGGAUCAAAGCAGCAAUGCGCCGGGGGAUGGGCUUGCGGCCGAUUAUUUAAUCCUAGAUGGCGGGGUAACGGCCCACCAUGGGUACGAUCGGUAGCUGGUCUGAGAGGAUGAUCAGCGACACUGGAACUGAGACACGGUCCAGACUCCUACGGGAGGCAGCAGUGGGGAAUAUUGCGCAAUGGGCGAAAGCCUGACGCAGCCACGCCGCGUGGGUGAUGAAGGCCUUCGGGUCGUAAAGCCCUGUCGGAGGGGACGAAGUAUGACGGUACCCUCCAAGAAAGCGCCGGCUAACCCUGU